RNAcentral lists this long non-coding RNA (1068 nucleotides) under Gallus gallus (chicken). RNAcentral's name for it is "lncRNA (ENSGALG00010014216.1)". Lineage: Eukaryota; Metazoa; Chordata; Aves; Galliformes; Phasianidae. The record is from RNAcentral.
ACUGAGACUCCAGCACUUUCCCUCCAAAUCCCUCCCCUCUGUGUAGCCACAGCUGCCCAGAUUUAGCAGUUCUUGUGGAAGCAGUUUCAGUUCUGCCUACACUGCUGAAAAGGCUGAAGCUACUCUUUUCCCUUUCUAGGUACAGGCCGGUUAUUAUGUGGCUGUCAGCAUGCUGCUCUGAUAUGUCCAGGAUUUUGUAGUCUCAUCUUCUGCCCAGAAAUGUUCACAGUUUCCAUGGAAAUAAAUUGGAGACAUUACCUUUGGAGCAACCUUCAUAUAAAGGCAUGCAGCCCUCAGCAGGCCUAGACUUCUAUGUCAAGGUAUGUAGAUUUUCCAUCAUUUACUGGUUACUUCACUCCUGUGUGUAGAGUUUUACACAUGUAUUGUAAUACGUAACACGUAAUGCACUCCAACUUCACCAAUAUUUCAUGAAAAUUCUGUGAGACAGUUACUCUGGAUGACCUUAUUAACCUCACAACAAUACAUUAACAUACCUCUUGAAUUAUUUAUUGCCUCUAGUCUUCCAGGGACAGCACAGUAUAUGCAUAUGACAAAGCCCUGGUAGGGCCCUCUUUUCAAUGUAUGCAUUCUGUAUAUCAUAGAAUCAUAGAAUCGCUAAGGUUGGAAAAGACCCACAGGAUCAUCCAGUCCCACCAUUCACCCAUCACCAAUGGUUCUUGCUAAACCAUGUCCCUCAACACAACAUCCAAGCGCUCUUUGAAUACCUCCAGGGUCGGUGAAUCCACCACCUCUCUGGGCAACCCAUUCCAGUGUCUGACCACCCUUUCAGAGAAGCAGUAUUUCCUAACGUCCAGCCUGAAUCUUCCCUGGCGCAGCUUGAAGCCAUUCCCUCUAGUCCUAUCACUAGUCACACGAGAGAAGAGGCUGACCCCCAGCUCACUACAACCUCCCUUCAGGUAGUUAUAGAGAGCAAUAAGGUCUCCCCUGAGCCUCCUCUUCUCUAGACUGAACAAUCCCAGCUCCUUCAGCUGCUCUUCAUAAGGCCUGUACUCCAGACCCCUCACCAGCUUUGUUGCCCUCCUCUGGACAGGCUCCAGGGCCUUGAUG